Molecule: ribosomal RNA, 122 nt
Filed under: uncultured bacterium
Lineage: Bacteria
Description: partial 16S ribosomal RNA
Rfam family: Bacterial small subunit ribosomal RNA
Source: RNAcentral
CUUGUACACACCGCCCGUCACACCGCGAAAGUCGGCAACACCUGAAGCCGCUGAGCCAACCGCAAGGGGGCAGGCGUCGAGGGUGGGGUCGGUGAUUGGGGUGAAGUCGUAACAAGGUACCC